Molecule: ribosomal RNA, 468 nt
Filed under: uncultured bacterium
Lineage: Bacteria
Description: partial 16S ribosomal RNA
Rfam family: Bacterial small subunit ribosomal RNA
Source: RNAcentral
GACGAACGCUGGCGGCGUGCUUAACACAUGCAAGUCGAACGGAAAGGCCCUGCUUUUGUGGGGUGCUCGAGUGGCGAACGGGUGAGUAACACGUGAGUAACCUGCCCUUGACUUUGGGAUAACUUCAGGAAACUGGGGCUAAUACCGGAUAGGAGCUCCUGCUGCAUGGUGGGGGUUGGAAAGUUUCGGCGGUUGGGGAUGGACUCGCGGCUUAUCAGCUUGUUGGUGGGGUAGUGGCUUACCAAGGCUUUGACGGGUAGCCGGCCUGAGAGGGUGACCGGCCACAUUGGGACUGCGAUACGGCCCAGACUCCUACGGGAGGCAGAAGUGGGGAAUAUUGCACAAUGGGCGGAAGCCUGAUGCAGCAACGCCGCGUGCGGUAUGACGGCCUUCGGGUUGUAAACCGCUUUCGCCUGUGACGAAGCGUGAGUGACGGUAAUGGGUAAAGAAGCACCGGCUAACUACGUG